Molecule: ribosomal RNA, 743 nt
Filed under: uncultured bacterium
Lineage: Bacteria
Description: bacterial SSU rRNA
Rfam family: Bacterial small subunit ribosomal RNA
Source: RNAcentral
ACUUAGUGGCGGACGUGUGAGUAACGCGUGGAUAACCUGCCUUACACUGGGGGAUAACACUUAGAAAUAGGUGCUAAUACCGCAUAAGCGCACGGAGCCGCAUGGCUCAGUGUGAAAAACUCCGGUGGUGUAAGAUGGAUCCGCGUCUGAUUAGCUGGUUGGCGGGGUAGAAGCCCACCAAGGCGACGAUCAGUAGCCGGCCUGAGAGGGUGACCGGCCACAUUGGGACUGAGACACGGCCCAAACUCCUACGGGAGGCAGCAGUGGGGAAUAUUGCACAAUGGGGGAAACCCUGAUGCAGCAACGCCGCGUGAGUGAAGAAGUCAUUCGUGAUGUAAAGCUCUAUCAGCAGGGAAGAAAAUGACGGUACCUGAGUAAGAAGCCCCGGCUAACUACGUGCCAGCAGCCGCGGUAAUACGUAGGGGGCAAGCGUUAUCCGGAUUUACUGGGUGUAAAGGGAGCGUAGACGGCCAGACAAGUCUGAAGUGAAAAUCCAGCGCUUAACGUUGGAAGUGCUUUGGAAACUGCCGGGCUAGAGUGCAGGAGGGGCAGGCGGAAUUCCUAGUGUAGCGGUGAAAUGCGUAGAUAUUAGGAGGAACACCAGUGGCGAAGGCGGCCUGCUGGACUGCAACUGACGUUGAGGCUCGAAGGCGUGGGGAGCAAACAGGAUUAGAUACCCUGGUAGUCCACGCGGUAAACGAUGAUUACUAGGUGUCGGGGGGCUAGAGCCCUUCGGUGCCGUC